GACGAAGGGGGCUAGCGUUGUUCGGAAUUACUGGGCGUAAAGCGAGUGUAGGUGGUUGUCCAAGUUGGAUGUGAAAGCCUUGAGCUCAACUCAAGAAAUGCACUCGGUACUGGGUGACUAGAGGACCGGAGAGGAUAGUGGAAUUCCCAGUGUAGUGGUGAAAUACGUAGAGAUUGGGAAGAACACCAGUGGCGAAGGCGGCUAUCUGGACGGUUUCUGACGCUAAGACGCGAAAGCGUGGGGAGCAAACAGG
Molecule: ribosomal RNA, 253 nt
Filed under: uncultured bacterium
Lineage: Bacteria
Description: partial 16S ribosomal RNA
Rfam family: Bacterial small subunit ribosomal RNA
Source: RNAcentral